RNAcentral lists this transfer RNA (73 nucleotides) under Canis lupus familiaris (dog). It matches the Rfam family "tRNA". Rfam says of the family: Transfer RNA (tRNA) molecules are approximately 80 nucleotides in length. Their secondary structure includes four short double-helical elements and three loops (D, anti-codon, and T loops). Lineage: Eukaryota; Metazoa; Chordata; Mammalia; Carnivora; Canidae. RNAcentral also lists the same sequence under 2 other names. The record is from Rfam by way of RNAcentral.
GCCUGGCUGGCUCAGUUGUUAGAGCAUGAAACUCUUGAUCUUGGGGUUGUGAGUUUGACCCUCACAUUGGGUG